UAAACUAAUUCCAAUGUUGACAAUGGCCGU
Molecule: non-coding RNA, 30 nt
Filed under: Rattus norvegicus (Norway rat)
Lineage: Eukaryota; Metazoa; Chordata; Mammalia; Rodentia; Muridae
Source: RNAcentral